CUCGUAGGCGGUUGAGUAAGUCGGGUGUGAAAACUCUGGGCUUAACCCAGAGCCGCCAUUCGAUACUGCUCUGACUUGAGUUCGGUAGGGGAGCAGAGAAUUCCUAGUGUAGCGGUGAAAUGCGCAGAUAUUAGGAGGAACACCGGUGGCGAAGGCGCUGCUCUGGGCCGAAACUGACGCUGAGGAGCGAAAGCGUGGGUAGCAAACA
This 208-nucleotide ribosomal RNA is filed under the name uncultured bacterium. RNAcentral's name for it is "partial 16S ribosomal RNA". It matches the Rfam family "Bacterial small subunit ribosomal RNA", at positions 568 to 774 of the family's 1533-position model. The record is from RNAcentral.